AGGUCUCCGCUACUUUUGUACAUAUUACAGAAUUAUAUUUGGGGAAAUUUUUGAAAUACUAAUGUAAGCUGUAGCCGGUAGUAGCGACUCUAAUUCAAUUCCUAGCUGGAUACGGCUUUCCAGAAGUUAGUAUGUAUAUGAAGCCCGCUUUUAUAAACGCCUCCGGUUCUCUUCGAAAGGAAAAAAAAAACUUCCACCCUUUCACCAUUGCCUCCGCUUUAGAUCUCCGGCAUCCGAUCACAAUCUCAACCGCCGGCGUUUCACUCAUCUCAGCAAUCUCUUAUGGCCGGCAUUAUCGCCCCUCCCUUCUUUUUACAAUCUCCCGACAUUCACACUAAAAUCAAAAACACAUCUAUCUCGCCUCAUCCUCACAAAAUACCCUAGCUUUUGCAAUUUUCUCCGGGUCUGGCAGCUCCCUUCCCCGAAUCAGAAGCAAAAACCGGCUCGAAACGACACGUUUCACUGUUGUAUCGCAGAAUAGUUCCGUUACUUGUGUUGAAUUAUCGGAUAAUGAUGAACAGACAAAGAGUCCGAUUAUCGUAAUUGAUAAUUAUGAUAGCUUCACUUAUAAUCUCUGUCAGUUGCGGCCUAGCUGAGGGUUUAUCGGAAACAACUUCUCUACUCUCUCGAACAAGGAUAAGGUCUGCGUAUUGAAGUUGCAGCUUAAUAUUGAUUUUGAAAUAUUAAGAAAUGUAGAAAUUAUUAUUUUGGUUUUUGUUAAUAAUUUUUUUUGAAGUAUAUGGGAGAGCUUGGAUGCAAUUUCGAGGUUUAUCGUAACGACGAGCUGAGCGUGCAUGAACUGAAAAAGAAAAAUCCAAGGGGAAUACUAAUAUCACCUGGACCAGGUAA
Molecule: non-coding RNA, 849 nt
Organism: Nicotiana tabacum (common tobacco)
Lineage: Eukaryota; Viridiplantae; Streptophyta; Magnoliopsida; Solanales; Solanaceae
Source: RefSeq, a predicted model, not a curated record